This 233-nucleotide ribosomal RNA is filed under the name uncultured bacterium. RNAcentral's name for it is "partial 16S ribosomal RNA". It matches the Rfam family "Bacterial small subunit ribosomal RNA", at positions 28 to 245 of the family's 1533-position model. The record is from RNAcentral.
GACGAACGCUGGCGGCGUGCUUAACACAUGCAAGUCGAGCGGUAAGGCCCUUUCGGGGUACGACGAGCGGCGAACGGGUAGGAGUAACAACGUGGGUGGACCUCGCCCUCCAGCUCUGGGAGUAAGCCUCGGGAAACCGGGGUACCGUAAUAACCGGAGUAUGACUCCAUGACGCAUGUUGUGGGUGGAAAGACCUUGUGCGGCUGAGGAGUGGGCCCGGCCGGCCUAUCAGC